RNAcentral lists this ribosomal RNA (212 nucleotides) under Klebsiella pneumoniae. RNAcentral's name for it is "partial 23S ribosomal RNA". It matches the Rfam family "Bacterial large subunit ribosomal RNA", at positions 1 to 203 of the family's 2925-position model. The record is from RNAcentral. Lineage: Bacteria; Pseudomonadati; Pseudomonadota; Gammaproteobacteria; Enterobacterales; Enterobacteriaceae.
GGGUUGUGAGGUUAAGCGACUAAGCGUACACGGUGGAUGCCCUGGCAGUCAGAGGCGAUGAAGGACGUGCUAAUCUGCGAAAAGCGUCGGUAAGGUGAUAUGAACCGUUAUAGCCGGCGAUGUCCGAAUGGGGAAACCCAGUGCAAUUCGUUGCACUAUCGUUAACUGAAUACAUAGGUUAACGAGGCGAACCGGGGGGAACUGAAACAUCU